This is a long non-coding RNA of Marmota monax (woodchuck), 448 nucleotides long. RefSeq lists it as uncharacterized. The transcript is spliced from 3 exons. The record is from RefSeq and is a predicted model, not a curated record. NCBI's taxonomy places the organism in Eukaryota, Metazoa, Chordata, Mammalia, Rodentia, Sciuridae.
AGAUAAUGAACAUUUGAAAUAAAGUCAGAAUUUGUUAAAGGGCAGAUGACAGUCAGCCUUGAGCCCUGAUGAUCCCAGGAUCCCUUCCAGUGGGAGAACUCUAAGUACCAGUCCAAGGUAUCUUUGGAGACUGGAUGUGCAGCUCAGUGGCAGAGCACUUGCCUGGCAUGUGAGAGGCCAUGGAGUCCAUCCCAGCACCACACACACAGAAGAUGUCUUUGACAGGACUCAAGCAUGAGAGGAGCUGUGUGCCUGCGAUCAAGGUCAAAGCUGAUAAGACUCUAGCACAAAGCCUUCUAAUGCAGGGCAUUGCUACAGCAGGUAGGCAUCCCGUGUCUUUGCACAGAAGUUUUCCUAGCAUCCAGGCAUUCCUCGUCUUGGCACAGAAACUUCCUAGCCACCAAGCAUGCCACAUUCAUGAAGCCAUCAGAGACCCCAGUCCCAAACA